GGCAUGCACAAUAUUCAUCAUUAACCUUAAUCACUAACCUCAUCUGGCAUUAUAUUGAAUAAAAUUGACCAUUUAAUUACUCUGCACACAAGUGCAUCAGUUUUCUAGUCCAUAAGUAAAUGUAGUUUGUCUGAUCAUUUCAGUGAGUGUAAUGGAGGAAAGAAAGAUCCCUCUAAAAUGUUAAUCCUCCACAGGGAACCUUUCUGCAUCUGUACCGCUGUCACUACCUGGCGUGAAGAAGUCCUGGCAUGAGAACAUCACUCAGGACCUGAGGAAUCAUCUAGUGCACAAGCUGGUUCAAGCCAUAUUCCCCAACCCAGACCCUGCAGCACUGCAGGACAGACGCUUGGGGAACUUGGUUGCUUACGCAUGUAGAGUUGAAGGGGACUUCUAUGAGUCUGCCAACAGCAGGGAUGAAUAUUACCACUUACUGGCCGAGAAGGUCUAUAAGAUCCAAAAGGAACUAGAAGAGAUGAGAAAGUCCAAACUUUCAAAGCCACUCACAAACACUCAGGAUCCUUAACAGUCUGAUUUCAUCAGUCCAAAUCUAUAGGACCUGAACAAACCAUCGGCCAACAAGUUAUUUUAUUGGACCAGAUAUUAAGUUGUUUUUGGACUAGAUCAGUCAUGUGUCACCCAGAAUGUAGAAGGACUGAGGGAUCUCAUUGGAGUUUAUAAUAACAGUCAGUAUGUGCAGUUUCAUGAGCAUGAACAUACAUCUGUUAUUCUUGAUUUGUUAUGUCCAUGUUUAUUUCAUAGUUUUUCUCAUGUAUAUACAGUAAUAUUUACUCUAUUCUGUGUAUUACUUAUUACUUACCAUUUCUGAUUGUUCUUUGCUCUUUGUAUUCUGUUGUUGAAUGUUAUGUUGUAUGUUGUAUCUAUUCUCAAGUUAGAGGAAUAAGUGAAUGUCUCCACCUAAAGGUUUUCAGCGUCACCAGAUGAUGUUGUGAAGCAGUAAUUCGCUGUGGUCUUUGCAUGAUAUAUCAACACUUUGUGCUGAGUUUGUGCUGCUUUGUGCAACUGACAUUAUUGAAUAAACUUAUUUCAAUCAUGA
Long non-coding RNA from Sinocyclocheilus grahami, 1054 nucleotides. RefSeq lists it as uncharacterized. The transcript has 3 exons. Lineage: Eukaryota; Metazoa; Chordata; Actinopteri; Cypriniformes; Cyprinidae. The record is from RefSeq and is a predicted model, not a curated record.